GAUGAACGCUGGCGGCGUGCCUAAUACAUGCAAGUCGAGCGAGCGGACGAGAAGCUUGCUUCUCUGAUGUUAGCGGCGGACGGGUGAGUAACACGUGGAUAACCUACCUAUAAGACUGGGAUAACUUCGGGAAACCGGAGCUAAUACCGGAUGAUAUUUUGAACCGCAUGGUUCAAAAGUGAAAGACGGUCUUGCUGUCACUUAUAGAUGGAUCCGCGCUGCAUUAGCUAGUUGGUAAGGUAACGGCUUACCAAGGCAACGAUGCAUAGCCGACCUGAGAGGGUGAUAGGCCACACUGGAACUGAGACACGGUCCAGACUCCUACGGGAGGCAGCAGUAGGGAAUCUGACGCAAUGGGCGAAAGCCUGACGGAGCAACGCCGCGUGAGUGAUGAAGGUCUUCGGAUCGUAAAACUCUGUUAUUAGGGAAGAACAGAUGUGUAAGGAACUGUGCACAUCGUGACGGUACCUAAUCAGAAAGCCACGGCUAACUACGUG
Molecule: ribosomal RNA, 497 nt
Filed under: uncultured bacterium
Lineage: Bacteria
Description: partial 16S ribosomal RNA
Rfam family: Bacterial small subunit ribosomal RNA
Source: RNAcentral